Molecule: ribosomal RNA, 435 nt
Filed under: uncultured Lachnospiraceae bacterium
Lineage: Bacteria; Bacillati; Bacillota; Clostridia; Lachnospirales; Lachnospiraceae
Description: partial 16S ribosomal RNA
Rfam family: Bacterial small subunit ribosomal RNA
Source: RNAcentral
ACGGAAGGCAGCAGUGGGGAAUAUUGCACAAUGGGCGAAAGCCUGAUGCAGCGACGCCGCGUGAGCGAAGAAGUAUUUCGGUAUGUAAAGCUCUAUCAGCAGGGAAGAAAAUGACAGUACCUGACUAAGAAGCCCCGGCUAACUACGUGCCAGCAGCCGCGGUAAUACGUAGGGGGCAAGCGUUAUCCGGAUUUACUGGGUGUAAAGGGAGCGUAGGUGGCAUGGCAAGCCAGAAGUGAAAACCCGGGGCUCAACCCCGUGGACUGCUUUUGGAACUGUCAGGCUAGAGUGCAGGAGGGGCAGGCGGAAUUCCUAGUGUAGCGGUGAAAUGCGUAGAUAUUAGGAGGAACACCGGUGGCGAAGGCGGCCUGCUGGACUGUAACUGACACUGAGGCUCGAAAGCGUGGGGAGCAAACAGGAUUAGAUACCCUGGUA